Cephus cinctus (wheat stem sawfly) is the source of this 820-nucleotide long non-coding RNA. RefSeq lists it as uncharacterized. The record is from RefSeq and is a predicted model, not a curated record. Lineage: Eukaryota; Metazoa; Arthropoda; Insecta; Hymenoptera; Cephidae. The transcript has 3 exons.
GCGAAGGUACUCGAUUGGCUAGUUCCAAGCUGGUUGUGAACUGGUUGCGAGCAGGUUGUAAGCUCGCCCACCAACGGGCCGAGUUCAACUAUCGAUCGUGCUUGAAUAAUUUCGCGGCCAGUUGCCAGUCUUUAGCUACACCAGCUAAGCUACCCAGACGUUUCACUCGGCUUGUCACUCGCCGAAAUCCAGUGGGAUCCUAAGGACACUCCGUUAGGAUCAUCCGGGACAACCUGGGACAUCCGGAUGGAGACGGCAGUGGUCUCCCCCCCACAAACGAUCCGUACUUAAUUCCUAACCUCUCAGAGAGCCGUCAAAUGGCCGGCACGGUACAUGCGCCAGGCUGUCGAAGCCGUUAAGGAUCAAAGUUCUCAGAGUAGUGCUCGUUUAUGCGCUGGGAGGAUCGAAGGGCAGAUGGGCGAGAACGGAGGGCAGGCAAUGGGGGGUUCCGAGGAAAAGGUGGACGCAGGAAGAAAGUUCCUCGAAGGAAGUCGUGCACGAUCGAUUUACUAACGAGGCCAAGUGGUAUCGCCAUUAUUUUCCCACCCACGUUGCCAUCGUCUCUCAGUGGAAUAACGCGUGUGUCACUUGCCCUCGUCAGUAUUUCUCUCCAGCUAUUAAUAAUCUGACUUGGGAUACUUACUUCCUCGUUGUGGAAUCUGCGCAGCUGAAAACAAAAAGAAAAUAAGGACUACCUUAAUUGAUGGGCAGAUUGGGAGCUUCGAGAGUCCUCGAGGGGAAAGAAGAGAGUAACGUAGGAACGGAAGGAAUAAUUAAUCAAUUACGUAAUUGCCGAUAAUAAAUAAUAGAAAGUUAUAAA